Molecule: ribosomal RNA, 627 nt
Filed under: uncultured Acidobacteriota bacterium
Lineage: Bacteria; Pseudomonadati; Acidobacteriota
Description: bacterial SSU rRNA
Rfam family: Bacterial small subunit ribosomal RNA
Source: RNAcentral
AGAGUUUGAUCCUGGCUCAGAAUCAACGCUGGCGGCGUGCCUAACACAUGCAAGUCGAACGAGAAAGGGGAGCAAUCCCUGAGUAAAGUGGCGACCGGGUGAGUAACACGUGACUAACCUACCUUCGAGUGGGGGAUAACUCCGGGAAACCGGGGCUAAUACCGCAUAACAUCUUCGGAUCGGAAGAACUGGGGAUCAAAGGAGCAAUUCGCUGGAAGAGGGAGUCGCGGCUGAUUAGCUAGUUGGCAGGGUAAUGGCCUACCAAGGCGAAGAUCGGUAGCCGGCCUGAGAGGGCGCACGGCCACACUGGAACUGAAACACGGUCCAGACUCCUACGGGAGGCAGCAGUGGGGAAUUUUGCGCAAUGGGGGAAACCCUGACGCAGCAACGCCGCGUGGAGGAUGAAGUCCCUUGGGACGUAAACUCCUUUCGACCGGGACGAUAAUGACGGUACCGGUGGAAGAAGCCCCGGCUAACUUCGUGCCAGCAGCCGCGGUAAUACGAGGGGGGCGAGCGUUGUUCGGAAUUAUUGGGCGUAAAGGGCGCGUAGGCGGUGCGGUAAGUCACCUGUGAAAUCUCCGGGCUCAACUCGGAGCCUGCAGGCGAAACUGCCGUGCUGGAGUGUGG